AGUGAACGCUGGCGGUAGGCCUAACACAUGCAAGUCGAACGGCAGCACAGUAAGAGCUUGCUCUUACGGGUGGCGAGUGGCGGACGGGUGAGGAAUACAUCGGAAUCUACUUUUUCGUGGGGGAUAACGUAGGGAAACUCACGCUAAUACCGCAUACGACCUACGGGUGAAAGCAGGGGAUCUUCGGACCUUGCGCGAUUGAAUGAGCCGAUGUCGGAUUAGCUAGUUGGCGGGGUAAAGGCCCACCAAGGCGGCGAUCCGUAGCUGGUCUGAGAGGAUGAUCAGCCACACUGGAACUGAGACACGGUCCAGACUCCUACGGGAGGCAGCAGUGGGGAAUAUUGGACAAUGGGCGCAAGCCUGAUCCAGCCAUACCGCGUGGGUGAAGAAGGCCUUCGGGUUGUAAAGCCCUUUUGUUGGGAAAGAAAAGCAGCAGGUUAAUACCCCGCUGUUCUGACGGUACCCAAAGAAUAAGCACCGGCUAACUUCGUG
RNAcentral lists this ribosomal RNA (492 nucleotides) under uncultured bacterium. RNAcentral's name for it is "partial 16S ribosomal RNA". It matches the Rfam family "Bacterial small subunit ribosomal RNA", at positions 29 to 507 of the family's 1533-position model. The record is from RNAcentral.